AGGCAGCAGUGGGGAAUCUUGCGCAAUGGGCGAAAGCCUGACGCAGCGACGCCGCGUGCGGGAUGACGGCCUUCGGGUUGUAAACCGCUUUCAGCAGGGACGAGGCCGCAAGGUGACGGUACCUGCAGAAGAAGCCCCGGCUAACUACGUGCC
Molecule: ribosomal RNA, 153 nt
Filed under: uncultured bacterium
Lineage: Bacteria
Description: partial 16S ribosomal RNA
Rfam family: Bacterial small subunit ribosomal RNA
Source: RNAcentral